CCAUUGGCCACUCCGCUGCUACUGGAAGGUAAUCAUAGCCUCCUGGUGUCGCACAUCCAUGGGAAUAAUGAAUUUAUUUGGACUAGAAACUAAGACCUGCUGGAAUGUCACCAGAAUAGAACCUCUUAAUGAAGUUCAAAGCUGUGAAGGAUUGGGAGAUCCUGCUUGCUUUUAUGUUGGUGUAGUCUUUAUUUUGAAUGGACUAAUGAUGAGAUUGUUCUUCGUGUAUGGAGCAUAACCUGAGGAUGUCAUGCCCAGAGCUGUAGCGGUCAUCUUGUGACCAUAAGGGAAAGGCCAUAAAAAUAGCAGAUAUAUCUGGCCUACCAUCCUUCUGCUGCUGAACCAAUGCCAACAGUGGGACUCAACUAGGAGGUCUUAUUACAGUACUGUGCUGCUUUUUCAACCAUGGAGAGGUCACCCAUGUGAUGUGGACACAACCUCUCCGUGAAAGUUUUUCCUAUCCAUUCCUUGUACUUCAGAUGUAUAUUUUAACUUUGAUUCUCAGGACCUCGAGCAAUGAUAGAAGGCCCUUCAUUGCACUCUGUCUUUCCAAUGUUGCUUUAUGCUUCCCUGGCAAUUUGCUCAGUUUAUACUUUUUACACAGAUAGCAUCAUUAUUUCCCAUGUAUGUUGUGGGAUACAUUAAACCAGGCAAAUUUCGGAAGAUCAUUUAUCUGAACAUGGGACUAUAUUAUUCCUAUUUCAAGACUAUUGUGGAAGCACCCUCAUUUUUGAAUGGAGUAUGGAUGAUUAUGAAUGAUAAACUGACUGAAUACCCCCUUGUCAUUAAUACAUUAAAAAGAUUCAAUCUUUACCCUGAGGUAAUUUUGGCCAGCUGGUACCAGAUUUAUACCAAAAUAAUGGACUUGAUUGCUAUUGAAACCAAGAUAUGUCGGACGGUUACCAGAGGAGAAGGACUCAGUCCUACUGAAAGCUGUGAAGUGGCAGCCGAUUAGGAGGCCUGGUUACAGUGUUGUGCUUCUUUUUCAAUCAUGGAGAGUGUACCUGUGUAAUGUGGACACCACCUCUCCGCAAAAGCUUCUCAUAUCCAUUUCUUGUUCUUCAAAUGUUGCUUGUGACUCAUAUUCUCAGGGCUACAAAACUUUAUAGAGGAGGUUUGAUUGCACUCUGCAUUUCCAAUGUAUUUUUCAUGCUUCCUUGGCAGUUUGCUCAGUUUGUACUUCUUACUCAGAUUGCAUCAUUAUUUGCAGUGUACAUUGUUGGAUACAUUUAUCUAUGUAAAUUAUGGAAGAUCAUUUAUAUACACAUGAUUUCUCUUGCACUUUGUUUUGUUGUGAUGUUUGGGAACUCAAUGUUGUUAUUAUGCUGCUUCUUCGGUAAUUAUUUGGGGUAUUCUGGCAAUGAAACCACAUUUCCUGAAAAUAAAUGUAUCUGAACUUAGUUUAUGGGUUAUUCAAGGAUGUUUUUGGUUAUUUGGAACUGUCAUACUUAAAUACUUGACAUCUAAAAUUUUUGGUAUUGCAGAUGACGCACAUGAUGCUCGAAGGGGGCCUACUAUAAUAGCAAACAUCGAUUGGGGAGGGGAAGACCAAAAAAAUUGUUCAUGAACUCAUGAACAAUUGAGUGUGGAAAUGAACUGCAGUAUUUUCACACAAUAGAAUACUUCCUGGCAGUGAAAAUGAUCUACAGAUAGACAAAGCGACAUGACACUCAGAAACUUAAUAUGCAAGAAAAAGCAAGUCACAGGGUAAUAUGUAUGUAUGAUUCAACUUGUAUAAAGUUCAAAAAUCUGACACACUAAACAAUCUGUUGUUGACAAGGGAAAUAUAUCGUAAUUUUUUUUUCCUUUGAGACAGAGUCUCUGUUGCCCAGGCUGGAGUGCAGUGGCACAAUCACAGCUCACUGCAGCCUUGAUUCCCCUGGCUCAGGUGAUCUCCCGCCACAGCCUUA
This 1910-nucleotide long non-coding RNA is filed under the name Pan troglodytes (chimpanzee). RNAcentral describes it as "long non-coding RNA NONPTRT016096". The record is from RNAcentral. Lineage: Eukaryota; Metazoa; Chordata; Mammalia; Primates; Hominidae.